GGACCUGGGCAGAGGGUCCGUCAGCAAGAGCGGGGCAUUCCGUACCCAGCAGGAAGAAUCAGGAAGCCAAAACACCCUUAAGCUACUGGCUGUCUUGGGAGGGGUUACUCAUCUAUGAAAUUACAGCAGUGAAAGGGAAGCCAAUAUGAGCUUGAAUGAAUGGACAAGGAUGUUGUACAGCCUCAUCCCUUCUUCAUCAAAGAUCCAAACCCCUUCUUCAUCAAAGAUCCAAAACCUCAAGGAGACUCCUACAGAGAAGACAUGUGACAAGAACAUGCACUGGCAGGGAAGACAAAGUUAUUGUUUGUAGAAAUAAAGCAGAUUAUGAAAUAGA
Molecule: long non-coding RNA, 334 nt
Organism: Myiozetetes cayanensis
Lineage: Eukaryota; Metazoa; Chordata; Aves; Passeriformes; Tyrannidae
Exons: 2
Source: RefSeq, a predicted model, not a curated record